GAGUUAUUAUGUAGGGUGAUACGCCCCUACAAUACACUUAUCUUAAACUCAAUACUCUAAAAAAACACUAAAAAAAGGAAAACUUAAAAGAAAUCAUAAUUUACUGUAAAAGAAGAAAUCUGACUGAACACAUCAUUACAAACUUUACACUAAAAGAAAAUUCUUCUUUUAUAAUCAAAUUAUAAAUGCGACACCAAAAUCUCAUCCAUGUAGAAUAAACAAAAUUAAAACUUGCAGAAAUUUGAGAGAAAAUAAAAGUUUAC
RNAcentral lists this long non-coding RNA (263 nucleotides) under Vigna radiata. Its description in RNAcentral is "long non-coding RNA (VRAD_LNC011059)". Lineage: Eukaryota; Viridiplantae; Streptophyta; Magnoliopsida; Fabales; Fabaceae. The record is from RNAcentral.